Triticum aestivum (bread wheat) is the source of this 115-nucleotide non-coding RNA. The record is from Rfam. Lineage: Eukaryota; Viridiplantae; Streptophyta; Magnoliopsida; Poales; Poaceae.
GAGGUACUCCCUCCGUUCGAAAUUACUCGUCACCAAAAUGAAUGUAUCUAGAAUUAAAAUACAUCUAGAUACGUCCAUUUUAAUGACAAGUAUUUCCGAACGGAGGGAGUAGUUG